GUAGGUGAACCUGCGGAAGGAUCAUUAUUAAAACAUACUAGGAAAAAACCUAGCUAUGUCUACCCAUGUUUUUUACGCACCUAAAGUUUCCUCGGCGGCUUUGUCCGCCAGUUGGACAACAAUUAAACCCUUGUAGUUGCAGUCAGCGUCAAAUAAACUUAAUAAUUAAAACUUUCAACAACGGAUCUCUUGGUUCUGGCAUCGAUGAAGAACGCAGCAUCUGACUGACUAAGAUUCGGCGCAUCUCGUA
RNAcentral lists this unclassified non-coding RNA (250 nucleotides) under plant metagenome. RNAcentral's name for it is "partial contains small subunit ribosomal RNA, internal transcribed spacer 1, and 5.8S ribosomal RNA". The record is from RNAcentral.